UUUCCCAUAACUUAUUUUAACAAAUUAAAUAACAAUACUUUAAGAAUAUAAAUAAAAAGAAAAGUUCAAAUACAGAAGAGUUAAUUUACACAAAUGAAUUGCAUAAAUAAACCGAUAACGUCUGCUUGAUAGGACACUCCACGUCGCUACAUAUUUUGUCUUCUUGUCCAUGUAACUCGUCCUGAUCAUUCACGGAUAAAAACAACAAAUGUGUGUUGUUUUUAGCAAGAACUUUGUGUGGGAAAAUAGCGGCGUGUUUGUCUCUUAUAAGUUUCAGGUUUUUCAUUUCUAUUUCUGCUGCCUGUUAAAGAAAUUUGUAAGAAUGAAAACUAUGUAGUUAGAGGUUAGCAAUGAUGAGUUGAUCAUGUUAAAAUCUGAGGUUAACAUUGUCAGAUCAAAGUUAGUAACAAGUUAGUAACAUCCCAAGAUACAGUUAUA
Megachile rotundata (alfalfa leafcutting bee) is the source of this 438-nucleotide long non-coding RNA. RefSeq lists it as uncharacterized. Lineage: Eukaryota; Metazoa; Arthropoda; Insecta; Hymenoptera; Megachilidae. The record is from RefSeq and is a predicted model, not a curated record.